GAACUCCCAGAGCACCUCCUUAGCAUCAUGGAGUUUGGCUGAGGUUGGGAAGGCAGACAGCUGACAGAGUAGGGACAAGAACAGCAUUUCCCCAUCGGGGAACUCAGCCACCUCCUGAGCAAACAGGAAUGCACAACUGAACUUUGCAUUGACUUUCAAUAUAUAUAACCUGUUCUUAAGUGAGUGAAUGAGGGAAUGGUGGUCAGGAAAGGAGCCAAGUCUGAGAAGCCUCAUUGUGGGAGGGAUGGGGGAGGAGAGGGGAGGGGAGAUGGGCACAAAAUCAGCGUCAGGAAGAUUGCAGGAUUCUCACUGCAGAACAAAAUAACCAAAGCUAUUUCUUUUUGUCCGCUACUCUUCCACAGGUCCAAAGGGGCACUGCCAUGGAGGUGGGCACCCUCCUGGCCCUGGGCACCACCCUGGAGGUGGCCCCCCCCCUGGCCCUGGGCCCUGUCCUGGGAAGGGCCACCCCCCAGGGCCUCCUGGUCCACAUCACUGAAGAAACCGAAGAAACAAACCAAGAAUGGGGUGCCUGACCUGGCAUGAGUUCUGAACCAGAAUCUUCUGUUCAAAAUAAUCAGCCUCCUGGAGGCCAUGUUCUCCUCUUAAAAGAGCCUGUCUUUCUUCACAUCCAACCCAGUCCUCAGUCCAGUUGUCUCUGAGUUCCCUAGUUCGAAAAAUAGGGCCCAGUCAGGCUUUCUCAGAUGUUUGACUCAUUGGUGUCCAUAGCAUAUUAAUGUCACCCCUCCCUUUUGUUUUCACUUCUGUCCCACCCCCCAUCAAAAGGCCCCAAGUAGGGCCUUAUCACCUCUACCCCAUCACACAUACCCAGGGCUGGUGGGCCUUCCAGGGUUCCUCUUGCUGGCCUCACUACAAUUCAGAAGCCUUCAGUGGAUUGCUACUGUCCACAAGUUAUUUCUCACUAUCCCCUGAAAAUACUUUCCAGACUCCUUAACUCUGCCCAGUUUACCCACUACCACCACAUCCGCCCCUCCCCAGGAAUGCCUUCCUUCCAAGCCACCAUCAACAUACAGCCUUCUCUAAAGCCUGUUAGAGUAAGAAGUCCUUUCUGUGCACACUGCCCUCUUUUCUGAAGCUUUUAUCAACCAUCACAUGGGCCCAACCACAGCCUACCCAAUUGGCACCAAUUAACUGGCUGGCUUUUUAUCUCUUCAGCCAAAACAAGCUACUCAGGGCUGGGUCAACACUUCUGCACUUCUAGACUCUCCCACCCUCAUUGCCUACUGGUCUAUGCCUUGCAUAGAGUGGUAUCUGCACACAGUUUAGGGAUACCCAUAGUCGAAGCAUCUCUGGGUUCUAACUCUUCCCCCAGCCACAUUCUUCAACCAAGGCACCUCCCACACAGAGACAGCAUGCCUGGUAUGAAACCCCUUCUGCUCGCCCAAAUCACAUCUAGGAUCCUCUCCACUCUGCAACUCCCAGGCUUUUCACACUGCUCAAAUCUAAUCUAGUGCUACCACAGCCCUCUAGCCAGGCCUGUCCACUACUCAUCACACCUCCUCUCUCUCACAGUCAUUGCCUGACG
RNAcentral lists this long non-coding RNA (1543 nucleotides) under Sus scrofa (pig). Its description in RNAcentral is "lncRNA (ENSSSCG00015030876.1)". Lineage: Eukaryota; Metazoa; Chordata; Mammalia; Artiodactyla; Suidae. The record is from RNAcentral.